UACAGAGGUCUCAAGCGUUGUUCGGAUUCAUUGGGCGUAAAGGGUGCGUAGGCGGCGCGGUAAGUCGGGUGUGAAAUCUCGGAGCUUAACUCCGAAACUGCAUUCGAUACUGCCGUGCUUGAGGACUGGAGAGGAGACUGGAAUUUACGGUGUAGCGGUGAAAUGCGUAGAUAUCGCUUGGAACGCCAACGGUGAAAACAGCUCGCUGGGGGUGUGCUGACGCUGAGACACGAAAGCCAGGGAAGCGAACGGG
This 253-nucleotide ribosomal RNA is filed under the name uncultured bacterium. RNAcentral describes it as "partial 16S ribosomal RNA". It matches the Rfam family "Bacterial small subunit ribosomal RNA", at positions 524 to 776 of the family's 1533-position model. The record is from RNAcentral.